This 388-nucleotide ribosomal RNA is filed under the name Acanthamoeba sp. UIC 4423. RNAcentral's name for it is "SSU rRNA". It matches the Rfam family "Eukaryotic small subunit ribosomal RNA", at positions 789 to 1080 of the family's 1831-position model. The record is from RNAcentral. Lineage: Eukaryota; Discosea; Longamoebia; Acanthamoebidae.
CUGCCACCGAAUACAUUAGCAUGGGAUAAUGGAAUAGGACCCUGUCCUCCUAUUUUCAGUUGGUUUUGGCAGCGCGAGGACUAGGGUAAUGAUUAAUAGGGAUAGUUGGGGGCAUUAAUAUUUAAUUGUCAGAGGUGAAAUUCUUGGAUUUAUGAAAGAUUAACUUCUGCGAAAGCAUCUGCCAAGGAUGUUUUCAUUAAUCAAGAACGAAAGUUAGGGGAUCGAAGACGAUCAGAUACCGUCGUAGUCUUAACCAUAAACGAUGCCGACCAGCGAUUAGGAGACGUUGAAUACAAAACACCACCAUCGGUGCGGUCGUCCUUGGCGUCGGUCUUUCGGGGCCGGCGCGGGGACGGCUUAGCCCGGUGGCACCGGUGAAUGACUCCCC